GUAUCCCCCAAACCCUUCUGGAUCAUAAAUUUUCCUUGGACAGGGAACUCAUCCAUACUGCUCAUUGUUGCACCUCCUGGACUUUACCCUUCAUAACACUUGGCACAUAAGAAACCACAAAUUAUUUUUGGAUGAAGAAUGAAUGGGCUCCAUACAUCCUCUCUUCCUGUUUGGACCUCGGUCACUUGGCGGGUCCUGAAGCUCGAAUGAACGGUACUUCUUCACCAUGCAUCUUUUAGAAACUUGCUUUUCUUUCAGACUCUUUUUGAAUUUAGAUGUGAUUUAUUUACUACUUUAUUCCAUAUUUGUUUCUUCCACAUGCAUUUUUCCUUCAGAAUAUGGACCUGGAAAACAAAGAAGGUAGCACGUGAUCUUUUUGCUUUCAGGAAGUAUGGGACCACUUUAUUAUCGUCUUUUAAAGUUUUACUUAAAAUCGUCACCAAAAGCCCUCCAGGUUGUAAUUUCCUCAUUGGUAGAAUAAUUUCUUUUUAUAAAUCAAGAAAUUUCACUAGCAAGUCAUCUUUGAAGUACAUCAAUCUCCUUCUAUUCCUUCCUUCUAUCAUCUGCCAAAUAUUUGCUGACUGUUUGAUAUAAGCCAGGCUCUAUGCUAUGCACGUUGGUAUUUAUUGUCUCAAAAAGAUGUGUAUGCCUAUACUGAUUUACAAAAGUCAUGUAGAACCAGAACAGAAAAUUUGGGACAUAUACAAUACUGAAAAUAAAAAUGACAUGAUCACCACCAGAAAGAAUGUUUUUUGGUAUAUUCACUCAGUUUUUUAACAUAUACAUGCAUUUUCCAUAGCUGAAACAGUAAUUUACACACAAUUUUGUAAAGUUCUUUUUUCCCCUUUAGGUAUUUUCUUGUGUUCAUGAAAAAUACUUCAUUUUUAAGAGCUGCAUAGUUUAAUAGUUUGCUUAAGGAGCAUGUGUGCAUACUCACAAAGAGUCAGACAUGACCGAGACUUUCCCCUAAUUUUGGACUUUUUUGGUUGUUUAUAAUUUUUGACAUUAUGAAAAAGGGGACAGUGCACAAAUUUUUGCACUCAUCUCUGAUUAUUUCUAUCGAAUCCCUAGAUAUGGAAUUAUAGGGCUGGAGUAUACAAAUAUUUUUCCAGUAAAGUUAUAUCAACUUAUGUCCCAUCAAUAGUACAUAAAACUUUCCAUUUCAUUGCACUCCUGCCAGUACUAAAUAUUAGACUUAAAUUUUUUUCUAAUAUAAUAGAUGUGAAUAUUGCUUAUUAUUUUAAUUUUAAAUUACUGGAUAAUCCAAGCACUUUAAAAUACAAUUACAUGGGAACUCCCUAGUGGUCCAGUGUCUAAGACUCCAUGCCCUUAUCACUGAGGGCACAACUGUGAUCCCUGUUUGGUGAACUAAGAUCCCACAAGCCUCACGGUGUGGCCAAANNNNNNNNNNNNNNNNNNNNNNNNNNNNNNNNNNNNNNNNNNNNNNNNNNNNNNNNNNNNNNNNNNNNNNNNNNNNNNNNNNNNNNNNNNNNNNNNNNNNNNNNNNNNNNNNNNNNNNNNNNNNNNNNNNNNNNNNNNNNNNNNNNNNNNNNNNNNNNNNNNNNNNNNNNNNNNNNNNNNNNNNNNNNNNNNNNNUUGAUUUCAUAAAUCUGAAUCAGAUAUUGUGUGUACUCUUGUAUUGAGGAUGAAAUGAACUGCCAGAUUUGAUUUCUAUAGUUUUGUAAGUUUUUUUCUCUUUUCAAAUUUUGCUUACAAUAUUUUUACUUAGUUGUCAAAAUUUUAAAACUCUCAUGUAAUGUAGUCUACUGGUCAUUUCCUUUAUGAUUUUUUCAUUUCUUUUAUUCCCUCAUCUUGAGGUUACAUGAAUAUUUGCCUAAAUUUUCUAGUUUUACAGUUCUUUAAUGUAGCUGAAUUUUCUUUUAACACAUAAUGAAAGGUAUGAGCUCAACUUGAUUUUUUUUCAAAUUACUAGUCUUCUUAAGUCCAUUUAUUGAGGAUCUGUCCCUUUUUUAUUUAUUUUAGAUGACUCCAUCACAUAUUAAAAUCUACACUAUAUUGACCCAGUGUCUUUUUCUGGGUUAUUUACUCCAUUUUAUUAUCUAUAUCAUUCAAUAUAUACUACCAUUCUAUUUCUAUAUGCUGCUGCUGCUGCUGCUGCUAAGUCGCUUCAGUCGAGUCUGACUCUUCGCGACCCUAUGGACUGCAGCGUACUAGGCAGGCUCCUCCGCCCAUGGGAUUUUCCAGGCAAGAGUACUGACAACUGCCGUUGCCUUCUCCUUCCUGUAUGCUAACAUUCACUUUAUUAUUUACACUAUGUUUAACUACCAAGUGGGGAAAUUUCCAGUAUUUUUCUUCACUUUCAUUAUUUUCUUAACAUUUUUCAUCUGCUACUUGUUCAAGUAAAUUUUAAAAUAAUUUCGUUUUAGCCUCCUAAAGUAGGUUUAAUAGCUUCAUCAUACAAGUAAGAAACUGAGUCUCAAAAGGAAGACAUAGUUCAAGUUUACACAUAUUCUAAAUGGAAGAGGCAUAAAUCAAAAACAUGUCUUUUGGAGAAUUCCCUGCUGGUGGUCCAGUUGUUAGGAUUUGGUGUUCCCACUGCCAGGCCCGAGUUCAAUCCUGGUAGGAGAAAUAUGAUCCUUGCAAGCCGCACAGUGCAGCCAAAAAAAAAAAAGGAGAGAGAGAGAGAAGGAGAAUCAUGUCUUUUGAUAUCUCCCCUUUUAGCUCUAAAAUACUAUAAUUUUUUAGUAAAGAAAACUCUUGAAAUUUAUUUUCUGUUCUUUCCCAUUUCCCAUCUACCUCCCUCUCGUGGUCAUUACAGAUAUUGCAGUUUCUCAAGCCAAUUCACACAGUACUCAUUUUAAUACAAGAAAAAUUAUUAGCUUACAGUUUUAAAGUUUACUUAAAAGUUGUUAACUUACACAAAGGUAAUAAGAAUAAUCGUCUAAUAUUUGGGGCCGUGUAUCAUCGGUAUUUUCUUAGCAAAGACCAGCCUCAAAAGAAUUCAGUAAAAAGUCAAGUGAACAGAAAGCAAAGUUUCGUCAGUAUCAAAGAUUUUAAAGUAGUAAAAAUUGCAUAUCCACAACCCUCCAGAUGUUUCUUUGCUCUUUUCUCCAUUGAUGUUACCCAAGUACUUUUAAAUACAAAAAAAAAAGUACUUUUAAGAAUCUUUAAAUUCCCCCUCUAACCCAUUUUUUGCUUUCUUCAUUUUGUAUCCUUUCUCACCAUCUAACACCUUUGGGUAUGUUCAGUUGGGACAGAGGUAUGUGGACAGGGGUGCAGAGGACUCAGGUACUCAUGCUGGGCCCUGGCCAGUUCUGCACCAGCCCCAAAGAAGGGCAGCCUGCUUGAAAUUCCCACAAGGCUCGGGUCCCAGUUAGCAGGGCUGCCUUCAUCCCCUACUGCCUUGGUUGAAAUCUGUCUCAUUUUCUCCCUGUUCAUUUCUUGCUCCCUUCCCACCUUUUCUUGUUUGCCUUUUUCUUUUCCCUUUCUUCCUUCCUAAUCCCAUCAUCCUUCAGUUUCUUCCUCCUUAUAUUUCCUCUUCACCUGGAAGAAGAUACCAUGUAAAAUUUAAUUUGUAUGCACAACAUAAUGUGUACUUUAUAAUAACUAAGUUAAGCAUAUGCAUAUGCAUAAUAAAAGUUUAACCAAGCUAAGAAAAACAACCACCAGUAAAGAGGAAAAGAAAAAUUCUGGGAAGCACUUAUCAUAAUGUCUGUUUAAAAUCUGAAUUUAUGAAAGAUAGAGGUUGCCUAUAUUACCUCCCACCCGUGGCUAUUUAAUAUCUUUUUUACUAAGCCAAUAAAUGAUAAAUACAUUAACGUUUAACAAUAUGGUACAAAAGAGGAAAUAAAAAGAACAUGGACAGAAAGCUUAGGUGCAUUAUUUAAGGAGGAUUAAGGACUUAAGUCUCUUCUGGAUUUGGUUCAGAAAGAGGGGGUAAUAAUACUUGCCUAAUUAAGUAGUAAGUGGGGUAGAUUAAAGUGUUUGUAAACAUUAAUUAAAGAUGCAGGGAGUUAGAUGAGGCCAGUGUGUUAUUAGUGAAAAAGUUUUCUUCCCUUUAAUCAGGUACCUCCUCCUGGGAAGGGCAAAGAAAUGAUAUCAGGACUAAGGAAUUAAGGCUCAGCCCUAAGUGUCACCAGUGACUCAGUCAUCCUUUGCCAUCAACCACUUCCUUCCUUAGCUUUCUGUAAAAUGGGGAUAAGCACAAACAGCACUCUGCAAUACGAGUUUUUAUCAUAUCUGCCAUUUGAGUAUAUAUCAGACCCUGCAAUUAAUAAAACCCCAUAACUCUUGCAUUCUCCCUUCGUACAGAGCUGUCCCACCCCAUUAACUUCCACCAACAUUAAUUUCCACCAACUUACAAAAGCCUUCCACAACCAGCUAAUAACCUCAGUGAACAUUUCCAUGGUGAUAAAGGAGAAACGGCACCGAGCAAUAGGGUCAAAACCUCUUGGACGCGUUUCUUCGCCUCUUUGAAUGUCCGUUUUCCUCCUCUGUAAAAUGGAGAUGAGAAAUCAGGCGGCUGUUCUAAGGAUUUAAUGAAAUUAUGUGUGUCUAUUAAACGCCUUGUCGGAGGCUAAUAAGAAUUUGAUUCGUGAUAGUUAUUAUCGCUAAAUAUAAAAUAACCUCUUAAAGCUGACUAUAGGAGGAGGAAAAAAAUGUUUCGUUUCAUUCAGACUUUUAAGUGCAAAUCCCUAUGUUCCUCUGUGUAAUUCAGAGAUGGGGCUAGGGGUUCACUCAGAUCGGACCAAUUCAAACCUGGCACCGACACCAACGACCCCUGCGGGGAGGCGGCUGCCUGGCAGCACCGGCGCGGGGACUGGUCCCUUUAAAUGUCCCGGGCACGCGCCCUGUGAGUUUGGGG
Molecule: long non-coding RNA, 4825 nt
Filed under: Capra hircus (goat)
Lineage: Eukaryota; Metazoa; Chordata; Mammalia; Artiodactyla; Bovidae
Description: lncRNA (ENSCHIG00010018048.1)
Source: RNAcentral